This 493-nucleotide long non-coding RNA is filed under the name Homo sapiens (human). Its description in RNAcentral is "HSALNT0322427". Lineage: Eukaryota; Metazoa; Chordata; Mammalia; Primates; Hominidae. The record is from RNAcentral.
GAAUUCAAUCUCUGCUGACUGCUGGGGCUGAGACAUCAAUCUUCUCCGGCUCUCAGUGCUCUUCCAGACUCAGACUGGAAUGUACACUAUCAGCUCUCCAGUUCUCAGGCCUUCAAAUUACACCUCUGGCUUUCCUGGGUCUCCAGCUUGCAGAUGGCAGAUCGUGGGACUUCAUGGGACUUCUCAGACUCCAUAACCAAGCAAGCCAUUUUACUUACUUUGGACUCAUUUUCUUAAUCCAAAAAUGGAAGUAAGGCUUGUCAUCUGUCUUAUUCAUAGUCACAGGGCUGAGGAGCUACAGUCUAAAUGCAUACGCAUGUUGGGAACCGAAGUCAGCCAUCUUCCCUAGGACAAAUCUUUACUCUUCUAAAGAAGGACAAGAAUAAGGAUUUGAAUGACUUUCAUCGUAAUGAAGGCUUCUGCAGAGUAAUUGAUUUUGACCAUGAGUACCUGUUGAAGUCACAGCAACUUCUCCUUCUAGAUUAUCUUACAG